UCGGGAAUUUUGGGCAAUGGGCGAAAGCCUGACCCAGCAACGCCGCGUGAAGGAUGAAGCUUUUCGGAGUGUAAACUUCAUAAGAAUGGGACGAAUAAGGAGGGGUUAACACCCCCUUUGAUGACGGUACCAUUUGUAAGCUCCGGCUAACUCCGUGCCAGCAGCCGCGGUAAUACGGGGGGAGCAAGCGUUGUUCGGAUUUACUGGGCGUAAAGGGCGCGUAGGCGGCGCAACAAGUCACUUGUGAAAUCUCCGGGCUUAACCCGGAGCGGCCAAGUGAUACUGUCGUGCUAGAGUGCGGAAGGGGCUACUGGAAUUCUCGGUGUAGCGGUGAAAUGCGUAGAUAUCGAGAGGAACACCUGCGGCGAAGGCGGGUAGCUGGGCCGACACUGACGCUGAGGCGCGAAAGCCAGGGGAGCGAACGGGAUUAGAUACCCCGGUAGUCCUGGCCUUAAACGAUGGAUACUUGGUGUCCGGGGUUACAUAGUCCCCGGGUGCCGGCGCUAACGCAUUAAGUAUCCCGCCUGGGGAGUACGGUCGCAAGACUGA
RNAcentral lists this ribosomal RNA (549 nucleotides) under uncultured Acidobacteriota bacterium. RNAcentral describes it as "bacterial SSU rRNA". It matches the Rfam family "Bacterial small subunit ribosomal RNA", at positions 355 to 897 of the family's 1533-position model. The record is from RNAcentral. Lineage: Bacteria; Pseudomonadati; Acidobacteriota.